This is a non-coding RNA of Lactuca sativa (garden lettuce), 827 nucleotides long. The record is from RefSeq and is a predicted model, not a curated record. Lineage: Eukaryota; Viridiplantae; Streptophyta; Magnoliopsida; Asterales; Asteraceae.
UUGAAUUUUUUAAACAACUAAUUUGAAAACAUGCCUAAAUUGCCAAAAAUUAAUGAUCCAUAGAUGGUGUUUAUCUAUACUUAACAAUUGGUAAGGCAAUGAAUCUCCUAUAUAAGGGGGUCGGGGUUUCUUUACGUAUAUAUAUAAAUUGUUUCUUGUGAUAAGAUAUCAAAAUGGGAAAAAGUUUAGUUGUGUUCAUGUUGUUCCUUGCCCUCUUUGCUUCAGACAUUUUACUUUAUUCCUAUUUUACACUUUUUGCUUAUGUAAUGUUAUUGCUUUUUAUAUUUUUUUUGUUACGUGUUCAGAUAUGAAGGUUUUCCGCAUACAUGUUGAUUCUUUAAGUUUUGUUUUUAACAAUAAUUAUGGAAAGUACAUGAUUAAUGAUGGUUUUGGAUUUUCAAAGUGGAUACUAUAGAAACAAAAUUAAUCACCUGUACAUUAAGAUGAGACUUUGAUGACUUGGACAGAAGCAGCAGGGAGAGAUCCAAGGUUUUGUGAAUAUGUAUUCACGAGAUAAACUUGUGAGACUGAUUAUCUAUGUUUGCAAGACUGCAUAGAUUUACCGGAAAAUAAUCAUAAGAGUACUGGAAAAUGUCAGAUAAGGGAUAAGGUUAAUCGAUGUGUCUGUAACACUUGUGCAUCUUGAGCAUGCAUAUGCUCAAUGAAGUUACUUAUAAUAAAUAAGUACUAUGUACGAUGUACACCAGUCACAUGACUUAAUUUUUGUGUAUGCCAGCUGUCAUUUCUGAUGGUGUAUUUAAUAUCAAUAAAACGUUUGUGGGUUGUAGCAUACCAUGCAACUGCCCAUGUUUAGACUCUUAUCACCA